UCUAAUAUGGCAGAAAAAUGCAUUGGUCUUAAACUCCAUUAAUAAAGAUUACUUCUUUUUUUAGAA
RNAcentral lists this transfer RNA (66 nucleotides) under Brachycentrus subnubilus. Its description in RNAcentral is "tRNA-Leu". It matches the Rfam family "tRNA". Rfam says of the family: Transfer RNA (tRNA) molecules are approximately 80 nucleotides in length. Their secondary structure includes four short double-helical elements and three loops (D, anti-codon, and T loops). The record is from RNAcentral. Lineage: Eukaryota; Metazoa; Arthropoda; Insecta; Trichoptera; Brachycentridae.